Molecule: ribosomal RNA, 497 nt
Filed under: uncultured bacterium
Lineage: Bacteria
Description: partial 16S ribosomal RNA
Rfam family: Bacterial small subunit ribosomal RNA
Source: RNAcentral
GAUGAACGCUGGCGGCGUGCCUAAUACAUGCAAGUCGAGCGAACGGACGAGAAGCUUGCUUCUCUGAUGUUAGCGGCGGACGGGUGAGUAACACGUGGAUAACCUACCUAUAAGACUGGGAUAACUUCGGGAAACCGGAGCUAAUACCGGAUGAUAUUUUGAACCGCAUGGUUCAAAAGUGAAAGACGGUCUUGCUGUCACUUAUAGAUGGAUCCGCGCUGCAUUAGCUAGUUGGUAAGGUAACGGCUUACCAAGGCAACGAUGCAUAGCCGACCUGAGAGGGUGAUCGGCCCCACUGGAACUGAGACACGGUCCAGACUCCUACGGGAGGCAGCCGUAGGGAAUCUUCCGCAAUGGGCGAAAGCCUGACGGAGCAACGCCGCGUGAGUGAUGAAGGUCUUCCGAUCGUAAAACUCUGUUAUUAGGGAAGAACAUAUGUGUAAGUAACUGUGCACAUCUUGACGGUACCUAAUCAGAAAGCCACGGCUAACUACGUG